This 406-nucleotide ribosomal RNA is filed under the name uncultured bacterium. RNAcentral's name for it is "partial 16S ribosomal RNA". It matches the Rfam family "Bacterial small subunit ribosomal RNA", at positions 30 to 526 of the family's 1533-position model. The record is from RNAcentral.
AUUGAACGCUGGCGGCAGGCCUAACACAUGCAAGUCGAACGAGUGGCGGACGGGUGAGUAAUGUAUGGGCAUCUGCCUGAUGGAGGGGGAUAACUACUGGAAACGGUAGCUAAUACCGCAUACCAUCAGAUGUACCCAGAUGGGAUUAGCUUGUUGGUGAGGUAACGGCUCACCAAGGCGACGAUCCCUAGCUGGUCUGAGAGGAUGAUCAGCCACACUGGAAAUGAGACACGGGCCAGACUCCUACGGGAGGCAGCAGUGGGGAAUAUUGCACAAUGGGCGCAAGCCUGAUGCAGCCAGGCCGCGUGUAUGAAGAAGGCCUUCGGGUUGUAAAGUACUUUCAGUCGGGAGGCGUUACCAACAGAAGAAGCACCGGCUAACUCCGUGCCAGCAGCCGCGGUAAUAC